UACAGAGGGUGCGAGCGUUGUCCGGAAUCACUGGGCGUAAAGGGCGCGUAGGUGGCGCGACAAGUCAGUGGUGAAAGUUCGACGCUCAACGUCGAAUCGGCCACUGAUACUGUUGGGCUUGAGCACUGUAGAGGCUAAUGGAAUUCCGGGUGUAGCGGUGGAAUGCGUAGAGAUCCGGAAGAACACCGGUGGCGAAGGCGGUUAGCUGGGCAGUUGCUGACACUGAGGCGCGACGAGCGUGGGGAGCAAACAGGG
This 255-nucleotide ribosomal RNA is filed under the name uncultured bacterium. RNAcentral's name for it is "partial 16S ribosomal RNA". It matches the Rfam family "Bacterial small subunit ribosomal RNA", at positions 524 to 777 of the family's 1533-position model. The record is from RNAcentral.